RNAcentral lists this ribosomal RNA (450 nucleotides) under uncultured Glomus. RNAcentral's name for it is "SSU rRNA". It matches the Rfam family "Eukaryotic small subunit ribosomal RNA", at positions 569 to 1023 of the family's 1831-position model. The record is from RNAcentral. Lineage: Eukaryota; Fungi; Glomeromycota; Glomeromycetes; Glomerales; Glomeraceae.
AGCAGCCGCGGUAAUUCCAGCUCCAAUAGCGUAUAUUAAAGUCGUUGCAGUUAAAAAGCUCGUAGUUGAAUUUCGGAAUCAAUAUGCCGGUCAUGCCUUGGUAUGCACUGGUAUCUUUGAUUUCUCCCUUCUGACGAACUUUGAUGUCAUUAAUUUGGUGUCAUAGGGAAUCAGGACUGUUACUUUGAAAAAAUUAGAGUGUUUAAAGCAAGCUCACGCUUGAAUACAUUAGCAUGGAAUAAUGAAAUAGGACGUUUGAUUCUAUUUUGUUGGUUUCUAGGAUCGACGUAAUGAUUAAUAGGGAUAGUUGGGGGCAUUAGUAUUCAAUUGUCAGAGGUGAAAUUCUUGGAUUUAUUGAAGACUAACUACUGCGAAAGCAUUUGCCAAGGAUGUUUUCAUUAAUUCAAGAACGAAAGUUAGGGGAUCGAAGAAGAUCAGAUACCGUCGUAG